ACGUCAAAUCAUCAUGCCCCUUAUGACCUGGGCUACACACGCGCUCCAAUGGAUGGUACAAAGGGCUGCAAGACCGCGAGGUCAACCCAAUCCCAUAAACCCAUUCUCAGUUCGGAUUGUAGGCUGCAACUCGCCUACAUGAAGCUGGAAUCGCUAGUAAUCGCGGAUCAGCAUCCCGCGGUGAAUACGUUCCCGGGCCUUGUACACACCGCCCGUCACACCACGAGAGUUUGUAACACCCGAAGUCGGUGGAGUAACCGUAAGGAGCUAGCCGCCUAAGGUGGACAGAUUGGGGGACA
RNAcentral lists this ribosomal RNA (299 nucleotides) under Priestia flexa. RNAcentral describes it as "Bacillus flexus partial 16S ribosomal RNA". It matches the Rfam family "Bacterial small subunit ribosomal RNA", at positions 1182 to 1484 of the family's 1533-position model. Lineage: Bacteria; Bacillati; Bacillota; Bacilli; Caryophanales; Bacillaceae. The record is from RNAcentral.